AGGGAAAGAAGAAAGAAAGAAAGAGAAAGAAGAAAGAAAAAAAGACAAAGAAAAAGAAAGAAAAGAAAUAAAGAAAACUGUAGAUACUGAAUAGUGACAUGUGUGAUCUGCUUGUUGCUAAGAUAUCAAUUGUACCUUGGUCUUUUUCUGCUUCCCUUCUUUUCCUUCUCUGUUUUAUCCUUAAUCUCUAUUCUAUGAGGUUUAGAAUGUAGUUAUUCUAGCACUCUCUAUUUCCUAAGAACCCACAAAAGGAAACAGAAUAGAGUCCAUGAAGACUUUCUGAGGAGUUCACCUACUGACGGUCCAUCUCCAGUCCACUGAAGCACAUAAAACAUCCUACUGCAGAAAUCAGAGAAAGCAAGAUUAUCUUAUGAGAAACACAAUCUCUCCUCUUAAAGAUGAAAGGACUGCACCUUGAGAGGCCCUUCCUGUUGAGUUGUCAUCUGAACAAAUCAGAGUGGUGGUUGAGGACACCAGAUGUGUUAUUUCCUACCACAGAAAAUUGGAGGGCUCACACGGUUCCACUGCAAUUGAAUUUGUUGAUUAUCUUUGCAAGAGGGAGAAGCUUAGCAUCAGUGAAGACAUUGGUAUUUGAUGGAGUUUUGCUCUUGUUGCCCAGGCUAGAGUGCAACGGCGUGAU
Long non-coding RNA from Chlorocebus sabaeus (green monkey), 640 nucleotides. RefSeq lists it as uncharacterized. The record is from RefSeq and is a predicted model, not a curated record. Lineage: Eukaryota; Metazoa; Chordata; Mammalia; Primates; Cercopithecidae.